Molecule: long non-coding RNA, 750 nt
Filed under: Crocodylus porosus (Australian saltwater crocodile)
Lineage: Eukaryota; Metazoa; Chordata; Crocodylia; Crocodylidae
Description: lncRNA (ENSCPRG00005009693.1)
Source: RNAcentral
CCGAAGGCCAGGUGAGUGUCCCGGGGCUGGCCACAGACCGCAUCCCCCGUGUAGACUUGGUCCACAGGCUGGAUGCAGCUGGGUGGGGGCUUGUGGGUGAGAUCAGGUGGGCUUGGCCAGCCCCACACACACUGGAACCAGCUAAAGGCUGCAUGUGGCCAAACGCACCAACUAGAUCACCCCAUGGUCAGAUUACCUGCCCUGCGGGGUGCCUUCCAGGUCUGGAAAUUUAGCAGGAGCUGAGCAGCAAUUAAUGCCAAUGUUCCUCCCACUACCAAAUUUCCAAGGUGAAUGCCACUGCUCUAAGAUGUUCCCCCAUCCUAUUGGCAGUAGGAGGGAGAAGGAGAAGCAGAAGCUGCUACUUUCUAAGCAGAAGUUGCUGCAAGGCACCUGUGAGGAGCUGCAGCUCCAACUAUCACUGCCGGGAAAUGCAGCUGCUUCUGGAAGGCCUGUACUGAGUGUGACAAAAAUGAAUUCACAGCAUGAAAGAGGUUGGAAGAAAGAUGGGCAGUAUGACAGCAUACGAAAAACAAAAGGCUGGAAAAAAUGGACAAGAUGAGAAUGAAGGGCAUGAUCUUCAUUACAUAUACUAAAGAACUCUCCUGCUUCUACUCACUUGGAAGAGGAGGGAUGGAGUCUUUAAAGUGAAACAUAAUUAUCAUUAUUAAUUAUUUUGUUGUAACCUGUUAAGUCAUCUGAAAACCAUUAAAAAAGACUAAUAUGUAAAAAUAAAUGUCAGAAAUAAAAACA